AAUAGGAUGGCCGAAGCACUAGGCGAUAGAUUGUAAAUUUAUUUAUGGUUAAAUAAACCUCCUAUUA
This 67-nucleotide transfer RNA is filed under the name Thermobia domestica (firebrat). RNAcentral's name for it is "tRNA-Tyr". The record is from RNAcentral. Lineage: Eukaryota; Metazoa; Arthropoda; Insecta; Zygentoma; Lepismatidae.